Molecule: RNA transcript, 1125 nt
Organism: Raphanus sativus (radish)
Lineage: Eukaryota; Viridiplantae; Streptophyta; Magnoliopsida; Brassicales; Brassicaceae
Gene name: protein PHLOEM PROTEIN 2-LIKE A6-like
Exons: 3
Source: RefSeq, a predicted model, not a curated record
ACUUUGCAAAACACACAAGGUCAAACAACAAUCAACAAAAACUCUGUUUCUGCUUUAUCUUCCCCCAAAAGCUCACACAUGGCUGCUACUUCAACGGUUGCAACCCGAAUAGGGCCUCAAGUUUUCAUCAGCUUCCAGGGACAGGAUGUGCGCAACCACUUCGUAAGCUUUCUCGACCCUGCUUUGAGAAGAGCGAAUAUAAAUGUUUUCUUAGACGAGAACGAGUUCUUGAACACAGACCUAGCUAGCCUAUUGACCAGGAUUGAAGAGUCCAAGAUCGCAAUGGUAAUCUUCUCAAAGAAUUACGCCGACUCAGAUAGGAGCUUGGAUGCGCUGGCCACGAUGAAGGAACUUAGGGAUCAAGGCCGUCUCAUAGUGAUUCCCAUCUUCUACGAUCUUGAUCAUUUGGUUGUGAAAGAACUUAGAGGAGACUUUGGCUAUAGGUUUAGAGAUUUGCAGCGCAGACAUCUACACCAGCUAGAAAGAACUCAGAAAUGGGAGGAAGCUUUAGUUACCAUUGCCAGAGCCGGCCUUGAAAGUAAGCAAAGGAAGCAGCUGCUUCCGGCCGACCAAAAAUAAAUAGAAUUUCGGCCGCGAUUUGUUUUAGUUGUCUGUUAGUUGAGUUGGUUGUGGUUACUACUGCCCUGAGAACAGGCCCAAUAUAUUAUUUUAGCUUCCAGCCCACAAAAUGCUGGGACCGGCACUGCCAUUGCUAACAUAAGAGGCAUGCCCCUAGCAGAACAAAGUGACACGGCAGAUUACCAUUUCAUAGAGUCAAUUGUCGUCCUGAUACAAAGAUUUCUGGAUCAUGUGGCCGUGAGAGGAAACCCAAGAGAAGCUAGCCGACAAGGAGGUUUCACGGUCCCUGCAAUACAACUAUAAAGAGAAGCAAAUCUUCAAGGAGUGGAAUCCAGAAAUCUCUAUAAAUAACAAAUUUUCUCAUAUGCAAACCAAAAAGAAAUGUUUUAUUUUAUUUUAUACAAUUUAUAAAUGUUUAUUUGUAGUAGUGUUGUUUUCUUCUUUACCAAGUUUAGUUUUAUAGUUAAAAACAGUUGUUCUGGUCAUAUACUCUCAUACUGUAUUUCGGGACUUCGGUUUACAUAUAUAAUAAUAUUCAGUUCCAUA